GGAGGGAGGCCGGAUCCUGGGCUGUGUCCCAGCGCCCUGUGCUCCGGGGCCUGCGCUGUUGGAUUAGCGCUCCUGCCCCACAGCCCCCU
This 89-nucleotide microRNA precursor is filed under the name Canis lupus dingo (dingo). Its description in RNAcentral is "mir-8799 microRNA precursor family". It matches the Rfam family "mir-8799 microRNA precursor family". The record is from Rfam by way of RNAcentral. Lineage: Eukaryota; Metazoa; Chordata; Mammalia; Carnivora; Canidae.